UAAAUAAAGUCCUCUUGAGCUCAUUGUUCAUAUGUAUCAAACAAUACAUAAGCAAACUAACACUAAGUUACCAUGCUACAUUUUGAUGUUUUUUGUCCAGGCUUGGCCAAUAUGCUCUGUAUCUUGAAAGAAAACCUUUAUUUGUUUUCUGUAUCACAUCGUGUUCAACAUACCAGUAAUGCGUUGAUAAGGGUGAUGAAUACUGGAAAACAAAGAAUAGGUAAUCAUAGGAUGUGUUGAAGAAAUCGAGCACAUCUAUUCUUUAAAUUUUGAGCGGGAUAUAAACUUUCGAUAAAGUGAGCUAUAUAUGUCGAGAGUGGUGAUGACAAACAGGGCAUGUACAAUCUUAAAGGAGAAUGCACAUAUCAAUAACACAACACCGACAUUUAUACUCAGUAAACCAUAAGGACAAACACAAAACAAUUAAAGGAUGACAUUUGUAUGCAAGGCGAGCAAGGCCCGAGCAGUGCAUCUGAGGAUACAACAUAGGAAACGAUUUGUCUUACAUGUGAUCCGUUCAUUUAGUCAUUAAAGACUAAAGUCCUGCAGGUAGUAGGCUGAGACUUUGUUUUCUUGCUGAGCAUGUGAUAUGUUUCACUGGGAAAGCAACAAACGUGAGUAAUGCAUAUAGUUGCAUGAAUCCGUCGAAGGCCAACAAUGAACACAAGGAAAUCAUAACCAAUUAACAUAUGAACCACCUAUAUUUGGAUCCUCAUGAACCAAGGAUUAAACAGAGACCCAAAACCUCACCGAGGCUUAAACAUAGACCCAAAACCUCUGUCAAUCAUCACAAGCAGCAAACAAUAGGCCUGCCAAAAUAACCCCAAGCCAAAGAUAGGAGAUGCCUCAUCAAUAAAAAUUACAAAAAGGUAGGGGCUGCAUCAUCAAAUAUAUGACGUACCUGUCAGUGCCAUGGAACAGUACUACGAGUAUCAUGGUCCUGGACUCCUGGUCCUAUCAAAUCCCAGCAAAUACAAAAACAUCAAACCUCGGUCAUGGCCAUCAAACAUGGAGAAUAUCUGCACCAAAUGGGUGGAUACAACAUGGUUCUUACUUGCUUACUUUAAUAAGAAUGAAUCAUUAAACAUUAGUAGAACUGUUGCAUAUGAAGUACUGCAGAAAUAAGCACAUAAUAUUGGGGAAGCCCUUGUUUCUUUGCCACUACAUAACAGGAAGGACAUAAGAUAUUUUGAGAAUGGCAUAUUAAAAACUUCUCUAAAUUAUGGAGGCACAAUCAGGCAAGCUAGACCAGUCGUGAAAAUAGGAGAGAGCCCAGCUAUAUGAUAAAGGGAGUCAAGAGUUUCUUGGCAUACUCUACUAUCCAAAGAGCUUAUUUAUCAUCAUCACAACCAAAGUUAUUUAAUCUUUUGAUCUAAUAGCUUUAGAAAUAGCUGGAAGUGUGUUUCUUCUAAGGCGGUAAGCAAUUUGGACCCUCGCAAAAGAGCUAAACAUAGCAGAGAUAAAAACUAAUGAAUUGAAGAUAACCUCAAUUAGGACCUAUGAACCUCUCAGAGGUCAUUGAGGCAAACUAUCUGUACAGAUCAUCGACGAUGUUUGUCUUUAAUAUAAGUAGGACGUCCGUACCAACCUCAAGUCCUAUUUUCAGGAGAAAUUUCGAUAGAAUCAUCAUUUUAUAAGCAUUCAUACUGUAAUCGAUGAAAUCAGCAUACUACUACAUGCUAAGCAAGCAAACUCAAGAAGCUGGUUCUAAUAAUUACCUCCAGAGAAGUAAUUUUGAAUUCAUGUGACAUGUAGUGUUCUUUGAAUAACUGAGAAAAACAUAGGAAACAAUAGAAGAUGGUAAGCACAAACAUCAUAUUGCAGAAACAACAAGCAAACAUUUCACAAUUCAUAAAAACUUUUCUAUGGUUAAUUAGAGGAAGAACUACCUAUGAUCCAAGUGAGCUAAGUGAAUCCAACUAGAAAACUAAGUAACAGGCGUGAUUGAUCUUACAUUAGGGCCCAGAAAAGUAGGGGUUGUUGUUGAGGUUCAGGAUCCUGUGUGCUUCGAGUGCUGCCGCCUGGCAGAGUAAAUCAU
RNAcentral lists this long non-coding RNA (2038 nucleotides) under Triticum aestivum (bread wheat). RNAcentral's name for it is "long non-coding RNA (TAES_LNC012114)". Lineage: Eukaryota; Viridiplantae; Streptophyta; Magnoliopsida; Poales; Poaceae. The record is from RNAcentral.